This 88-nucleotide transfer RNA is filed under the name Acidobacteriota bacterium. RNAcentral describes it as "tRNA-Tyr". It matches the Rfam family "tRNA". From Rfam's summary of the family: Transfer RNA (tRNA) molecules are approximately 80 nucleotides in length. Their secondary structure includes four short double-helical elements and three loops (D, anti-codon, and T loops). Lineage: Bacteria; Pseudomonadati; Acidobacteriota. The record is from RNAcentral.
GCAAGGGUGGUCGAGCGGUUAAUGGCACCGGGCUGUAAACCCGGCAGACGAAAGUCUUACAUAGGUUCAAAUCCUAUCCCUUGCACCA